This 675-nucleotide ribosomal RNA is filed under the name uncultured bacterium. Its description in RNAcentral is "bacterial SSU rRNA". It matches the Rfam family "Bacterial small subunit ribosomal RNA", at positions 100 to 773 of the family's 1533-position model. The record is from RNAcentral.
GACGGGUGAGUAAUGCCUAGGAGUCUGCCUGGUAGUGGGGAUAACGUUCGGAAACGGACGCUAAUACCGCAUACGUCCUACGGGAGAAAGCAGGGGACCUUCGGGCCUUGCGCUAUCAGAUGAGCCUAGGUCGGAUUAGCUAGUUGGUGAGGUAAUGGCUCACCAAGGCGACGAUCCGUAACUGGUCUGAGAGGAUGAUCAGUCACACUGGAACUGAGACACGGUCCAGACUCCUACGGGAGGCAGCAGUGGGGAAUAUUGGACAAUGGGCGAAAGCCUGAUCCAGCCAUGCCGCGUGUGUGAAGAAGGUCUUCGGAUUGUAAGGCACUUUAAGUUGGGAGGAAGGGCAUUAACCUAAUACGUUAGUGUUUUGACGUUACCGACAGAAUAAGCACCGGCUAACUCUGUGCCAGCAGCCGCGGUAAUACAGAGGGUGCAAGCGUUAAUCGGAAUUACUGGGCGUAAAGCGCGCGUAGGUGGUUUGUUAAGUUGGAUGUGAAAUCCCCGGGCUCAACCUGGGAACUGCAUUCAAAACUGACUGACUAGAGUAUGGUAGAGGGUGGUGGAAUUUCCUGUGUAGCGGUGAAAUGCGUAGAUAUAGGAAGGAACACCAGUGGCGAAGGCGACCACCUGGACUAAUACUGACACUGAGGUGCGAAAGCGUGGGGAGCAAAC